AGUCAAAGUUAUAUAGCAUCCUAGACUUCUUGAAUCAGUUGAUCUGGGAAACGCCUUGCAGCAUCCUCUCCUCCUUCCCCUAUAUGUUGCGUCUCACCACCCUUAUGCUCCCCCGUUCUCCAUAAACCCUACACUCCACCGCUACCACCACUCAAUCCUUCCGUCAUCACUCAUUACGCAUGUCGCCAAGCAACAUCAAUCGAAAGGAUUAACCUUUUGAAUCGGUUAAUACUGAACUGGUAUUCCUCACAUUCAGCAUAUUCAAAUAAAAAACGUGUUCGAUUCAUUGGUAUCUUGCGUUUCUUCCAUACAACUCCUCCACCUUCUCUUUCCUCUUCACAUGAUUACUUCCCUUCUCUCCAAACUCAUAUUCAGUUUCUUUCUUUUCUUCAUUCACUUUUUCUCUUGGCCAUCGCAGCACCACACAAACACACACAUACACACCCUUUGAUGUCAUGGCUUCCGACGGCAACAACCAACACGAUUUAUGUUAUGCUUCAGUAGUUAAUCAAUCGAUUAUCUAUAUUGCUGGUUAUAAAAUAAGAGAGAUUUGAGUAUUCUGAAUGAAAACCCUAUACCUUGGACUCAGCCGAUUUGCAAGAAUUCCUCUGUUAGAACCACCACUUCAUCACCUUCUUACCCCCAGCAUUGCCGCUGGGUAUGUGAUAAGUGUGGUAAGAUUCCAAAUAAAACUACGAAAAUGAUCACUGGUACUCAUUGCAUCAAUUCACCAAUCGACUCAUGUAUCCUCUGCCUAGAAAACAUGGAUACACAAUAGAGCAAGCCUACAUGCCUAAAAGAUAGAGAUUAAACUUGAACUUCAUGAACGAUCUUUAUAGAAAUCGUGUUGUCAGAGUAAAGAUUCUAGAGGGUAAAGGUAAAGAAAUGCAUUUCCUAUGAAACAGAAGGAUGUGAAAUCCCAUGUGAUGUUAACUGUAUUGUUUGUGUAGAUCUAAUUUUGUAUAUGUACACAUUUAACUUUUAGGAAAAUGUCAUGGGCACAUAUUGCUAAUGGCUUUAUAUUUACAUAUAGUUUUUUCCCAGACCCAAGAGUUAUUUAAAUUUUAUUGGGGAUAAUGUUUUUUUUGAAGGGAGAGGAAUAUAUGGAUUAAAAGGAAGAUUAAAAGGAAAAAAGUUAUUAAGAUUUUAUUGUAAACUAAUUAAUUACUAUUGAUGAUUUUGUUGGAAAGUAUUUAAUUAUUAUUUUAUCUUUUAAAAACAAAUAAAGUCUUUGAUGGUAGUGGUAAGAAAAGUCAACGGAAUAUUUAGUUGUCUAAUGGUCAUCAUAUUUAGAGUAAUGUCGGGUAAUCUUUCGCUUGGACUUAGAAAAUCAUUAAACCAUUUAGAUCUUUGGUACUUAUACUCACUUUUGUCAAAAGAAUUUAAAAACUAUAACCACAACUAACACUUUCUUUUUACUCUUCCUUUUUCCUUAUCACAUACAAGAACUAACAUUUUAUUAAUCUCUUUUGUUCUGUUCUGGGAAGGGUUUUUUCCCCUGGUUAUGAAGGUGUAGUUUAUGAUGUCAUAAGUUGUAGUCGGUGGGGUUCCGAGAUCAUGGUUGAUGAAACCCGUUGUAUGGGUGUGGUAUGCCUAAGAGGUGAUGUUAGAUGUGAUCUAGGUUAUAUCUCUCCAAAGCUCGUUGCUUGCAUGGCAGUUCACGGUUGCAACAAGGAGACUAAGGUAUAGUUGAAAGUGAUAAGUGGUUUGUUUAUGAUGGUGAAGAAGAUUAUGACAAGAAGUAGUGGAUGUCAAUUCAUAGUCGCGGGUUGCUUCAAACCGUGGGGGGCUUGUAUGAAACUCGGUUUAGUGGUUGUAAGGUGAUAUAUACUGAUCCAUUUCGUAUUGUUUUGGAAUUUGACAUGUUUGUGAAUUGAAACUACGCCACACAGAAACUAUUCAUCGAAUUGAGUUAAUAUUUGUAUGUAAACUAUUCAUUGAAAUGAAAUUAACAAUCGCAGCCACAUCGUACAUGUAUCCCAUUAUCUACUUAUAUAUUGUACUCUAAACUCAAUAACCUAAACAAUAAACCGUAGACUGUAACAUAAACCCUAAACAAAAAUACCAAAUAUUAAUCCGAAAUUACUAUGUUUUGUUAAUUAAUUUACAUCA
Lactuca sativa (garden lettuce) is the source of this 2112-nucleotide long non-coding RNA. RefSeq lists it as uncharacterized. NCBI's taxonomy places the organism in Eukaryota, Viridiplantae, Streptophyta, Magnoliopsida, Asterales, Asteraceae. The record is from RefSeq and is a predicted model, not a curated record.